AGGAAGCGGAUGCAAAGUGUUUAGUGCGUAAUAAAGUUAUUGGGAAAACCAUACAUCGCGUGUGUUUGAACGUGUUCACUAAGUCGGAUUCUAAUAAAUGUGAAGUGGCGAAAACAAAAGGGCUCAAGUGGAAGUAUGUGGCACAGCUUGCGCGGUUUCAACCGCACAAAACAGAGAGAGAGAGACAGAUUCGUUGUGUUUAAAGGAAGCAAAGUGACGAGUAAAGUUAACGGCUGCAACCACAAACAGCAUGUUUAGCUUUUUCGCGUAUGUAUUGCUGCAAGUGGGCAAUGCAAAAGAGGCAGCAAACGGAGAUGUAGGACGCGAGUCCAAAUCAAAAGCAAAUCUUGUUACGACAAAUUUCAGCCACUGUGCGACCGAGUGAAACAAAGACCAGCGUCAGCGAUGACGAGAAGAAGGACGUCACCGGCGGGGUUCGGGACUCGACGACAUCCGAUGCGACUCCAUUGCGAAAUCAACGAGAGCUGGGAAUUAAUGCGAAAAGAGAAAACACUGCCAGUUGUUGAUGUUUUUGGUUCUUGGAGCGAUUGAAACUGGGCAGGAUUUUCCGUAAGACGCUGUCGCGCAGGACUUCACUCGAUUUCCGUUGCGUGCACUUUUGCGGCCGGCUUUUCCUUUUUGCGCAUGGUAAUGGAGCUGGCCAGCAUAGCAGAAAUGCAGGCCGCAGAAGCCAUGA
This 697-nucleotide small RNA is filed under the name Drosophila yakuba. RNAcentral describes it as "GE27776". The record is from RNAcentral. Lineage: Eukaryota; Metazoa; Arthropoda; Insecta; Diptera; Drosophilidae.